RNAcentral lists this long non-coding RNA (728 nucleotides) under Carassius auratus (goldfish). RNAcentral's name for it is "lncRNA (ENSCARG00000062584.1)". The record is from RNAcentral. Lineage: Eukaryota; Metazoa; Chordata; Actinopteri; Cypriniformes; Cyprinidae.
AUGUUCAGAGCUGCGUAUGGACUGUGCAUUUAUUUCUUAUUAUAUAUAGGGAUGGUGCGAUGUGUGACCGUUCAACAGAACCCCACAUCCAUUUUAGCCAACGAGAAAUCUGCAGUGAUAAAUUGUAGUUAUGAUGAUAGUAACAUGGAUUAUAUGCAAUGGUAUCAGCAGAAGGAUACAGCCAUGGUCUUGAUCGUCUUCAGUUACAGUGCUACAGGUGAACCCACGUUUGAAGAUGGAUUUAAAGGCCGGACUGAACUGGACAGAACAGAAACACUGAAGGGAGUCCUGAAAAUCUCUGAUCUCAGUUCAUCAGACUCGGCUGUUUAUUACUGUGCUGUCAGUAUGCACAGUGCUGUAGUCUUUAUUACCUGCCUGACUAAAAACCAAGCCACCAGACAAACAGGAAAUGCAAUACGUACAAAUGAGGAAUCUAACCUCUGUAUCUUUUUCUUUUUUUCAGAUUUUCUUUUUCAAAGAUUUUUGUACUUUCUGUCAGUUUUUAAUUGAAAACACAAUCAAAUAUAAGCUUUCCUCCAAAACUAGUAGACCUACCUAGACAACAUUUUAAGGCAUCAUGUGUGGUGGCCAAAUUUUACAGUAACAUAUCCUUCACAGAUAACACAAUACCAGGAUGCAUUGCGACAGUAUCUGUGAAACAUACAAGAUGAUGGAUGCAGUCGAGAGAAAUAUUUCCAAUAAAUACUUACAUUUCAUGCAACAAAAAC